Molecule: ribosomal RNA, 446 nt
Filed under: uncultured bacterium
Lineage: Bacteria
Description: partial 16S ribosomal RNA
Rfam family: Bacterial small subunit ribosomal RNA
Source: RNAcentral
CCUACGGGCGGCUGCAGUCGAGAAUCAUUCACAAUGGGGGAAACCCUGAUGGUGCGACGCCGCGUGGGGGAAUGAAGGUCUUCGGAUUGUAAACCCCUGUCAUGUGGGAGCAAAGUAAAAAGAUAGUACCACAAGAGGAAGAGACGGCUAACUCUGUGCCAGCAGCCGCGGUACUACAGAGGUCUCAAGCGUUGUUCGGAAUCACUGGGCGUAAAGCGUGCGUAGGCUGUUUCGUAAGUCGUGUGUGAAAGGCGCGGGCUCAACCGGCGGACGGCACAUGAUACUGGGAGACUAGAGUAAUGGAGGGGGAACCGGAAUUCUCGGUGUAGCAGUGAAAUGCGUAGAUAUCGAGAGGAACACUCGUGGCGAAGGCGGGUUCCUGGACAUUAACUGACGCUGAGGCACGAAGGCCAGGGGAGCGAAAGGGAUUAGAUACCCUAGUAGUC